GAGAGAGGGCCACUCGCCUUCCUGGUGACACAGAGAUUUCCUAGCCCCGUUACCAAACGAAAAAGCAACGCAAGGGCUUCUAAGAAGCCAUCCCAAUGACCUUUUGGCUUUGAGAAGAGCAGUCCUCAUACCAGAGUGUUUGGGGUUUUGGCCUCUUUCAGUGUUUAUUCAUUCUUACGUGGGAAAGUUGUAUUCCGAGGUUUCUGUGGUGCAUGAAGCUUUUGCCUUCACCAUCUGUUCCCGUGUCUUCCUCGGGUGACAUCAGAGUACAGCAGUAUUUUCCCUUGCCAUCUAAUGGGGUUUGGGCUGUUUGACUCAACCGUGUGUGUUCCUCAAUGCCAGGGGAAUAAUCCUACCCUAAGUCAGCUGAACAGAAGCCAGGAUCUAACUGCAAACAAGAGACCCAGCUUGCUUAACAGCAUGGAAGAGACCAGUUUCGUUGCAGCUACCUGGGAAGACGGUUGCUAAUUAGCCUGCAACAAAGAGUUCCUUGCUCAUCUAAAAGAGGCAAUCACCGUUCAGGUGAAGCUUUGUUCUAAGAAUAUUUGUUUCAUCUAGUUUAUGAGUCCAAAUGAUAUAGACUGUAAAUGUCACAGCAGUGGUGAAAGACUGCUCGGUCAUGAGCACCGACAGUAACUCACUGGCACGUGAAUUUCUGACCGAUGUCAACCGGCUUUGCAAUGCAGUGGUCCAGAGGGUGGAGGCCAGGGAGGAAGAAGAGGAGGAGACGCACAUGGCAACCCUUGGACAGUACCUUGUCCAUGGUCGAGGAUUUCUAUUACUUACCAAGCUAAAUUCUAUAAUUGAUCAGAGAUGGGGUUUCACCGUGUUGACCAGCUGAUCUUAAACUCCUGACCUCAAGCAGUCUACCCCCGUUGGCCUCCCAAAGUGCUGGGAUUACAGGUGUGAGCCACUGCACCCAGCCAAGUUUAUGUAUUUUUAUUCUUUUUCAUGAAUGUGAUUUGUUAAAUGAGUGAUUAAAUAUAAUUUUUAUAUAUUUGUAUGACUUUUCUGUAAAUAAAAUUUAAAAUCAGAAAAAAUCAUGUUAGACCAUGUAUAGUGAUUUAUUUUGAAAUUUUGAUUAUUUAAUAUGUACACCAUGCUCUGUUCUUCCCCACAAUAAAAAAAUUCAAUGCUUUGUCUUCUUUAAAAUAUACCAUAUAAAUAGCAUCAGUAAUAGUAAAUAUCGAGGAAUGACUCUAAUAAAAUAUGUACAGUACUUCUGCAUGGAAUUCUAUAAAACAUUAUUGAGAGAAACUAAAGAAGACCCAAAUAAUUGGAGCAUUAUAUAAUGUUCAUGUAUUGAAAGAAUCAAUAUUAUAAACAUACAUGUUUUCUCCAAAUCUAUAGAUCCCAAUUUAAUCCCAAUCAAAAUCUUAAUAACAGCAUUAUUAAAAAUAACAUUAUUGAGAUAUAAUUCACAUAUCUUAAAAUUCACCCAUUUUAUGUGUACAAUUCAGUGGCUUUUAGUGUAGUCACAGGUAAGUGCAUCUGUCACCACAGUUAAUUUUGGAAUAUUUUCAUCACCUCCAAAAGAAACUCCAUACCCUUUAGCUAUCGUUCCCCUAUCCCUUCCAUUCCCCUACCCCUAAGCAAACACUAAUCUACUUUCUAUCUCUCCAGAUUUUAUGCUUUCUCUUUUAUGUCAUGAAAUGUCUUUUAAUGUAUUACUAAAUGACUGAAAUAAUUCAUGUCAUAACAGCAGCAAUAAUUUUUCUUUUGGGAAUAUUUUGCUAGUCUGUAGUGUUAGCCAUUCUAAAAGAAUAUGAAGUAGUAUCUUAUUGUAGUUUUAGUUCACAUUCCUCUAACAACUAAUGAUGUUGAGCAUUUUUUCAUUUGCUUAUUGGCCAUUUGUAUAUCUUCUUUUAUGAACAUCUCUUUAAAAGUUUUGUACCAUUUUUAAGGUCAGGUUAUUUAUUUAUCAUCAGUUGUAGCAGUUCUUUAUGUAUUCUGGAACCAAGUCUAUUGGAUUCCAAAUACGGUAUUUUCUUUGUAUAUAUGGUAAAUAGAAUACUUUCUCUUUUAAGUCAUAAGAUAUAUUUUAAGAUAUUAAAUGACUAAAAUUAUUUAGGUCAUAAGUUAAAUAUUUUUUUCCUGUGGUGGUAUUUUUUAAUCCCUUCUUUCCACCUAGUCACUUUUUGGAAUAUCUGUAGCAAUAAUAGUAGGAACAGUAGAUGUGCCUUUGGAGUGAAAAUAAAUAGCCAUUUAAAACAUAGGCCUUUAUCAACAUUUAGUUCUUUCAAUUAGGAAAUGGAGAAUGAAUGUUUGAGUUUUUAAGGGGAAUUAAUUGAAUGAUAUUUUAUCAUUUAAGAUGAAAUCAUAACACUAGACACAUAGUUGUAUGUUUUAGGAGGAAAUUUAGUUUUUCUAUCUGUGCUUCUCAUGAAUAGGAGCACUUCUUGAGUACUCUGGGGUGAUUUAAGCCCUUUCCCACCAACUGUAGUCCGUUUGCUUUAUUAAUAUUUAUUUAUUUAUUUUUGAGACAGAGUCUCACUUUUUCACCCAGGCUGGACUGCAGCGGCACAAUCAUGGCUCACUGUAACCUCAGCCUCCAGGGUUCUAGAGGUUGUCAUGUCUCAGCCACCUGAGUAGCUGGGAUUACAGACGUGCGCCACCACGCCCGGGCUAAUUUUUAAAAAUAUUUUUAGUAGAAACAGGGUUUUGCCAUGUUGGCCAGGCUGGUCUCAAACUUCUGGCCCCAAGUGAUCUGCCCGCCAUGGCCUCCCAAAGUGCUAGGAUUACAGGUGUGAGCCACUGCGCCCAGCUUAUUAAUAGACAUUUAAUAUAAAGAAGUAAAUAAACUUUUUAUUGAGGUAUAAUUUAUAUACAGUAAGUGCACAGAUAAUGUGUAUGCAGUUAGAUGAAUAGUGACAAAUACACCUCACAUCAGUAGUCCCAAUCCUUUGGGAGGCCGAGGUAGAUGGAUUACUUGAGGCCUGGAGUUCGAGACCAGCCUGGGCAACAUGGCAAAACCCCAUCUCUACAAAAAAAUACAAAAAUUAGCCAGGUGUGGUGGUGUGUGCCUAUAGUCCCAGCUACUCAGGAGGCUGAGGUGAGAGGAUUGCUUGAGCCUGGGGAAAUCAAGGCUGCAGUGAGCCAUGGUCGUGCCACUGCACUCUGACCUGGGUGACAGAGUGAAACCCUGUCUUAAAAAACAAAACAAAAUCCAAAUAUUUACACCUGUGUCAUCACCACCCAGAUCAUUGUUUAGAAUAUUUCCGCCACCUUAGAAAGUUUUGUCAUGCCUUUUUUUUCAGUCAGUCCCUCCCCUUCACUCACUGCAAGACCACCACUGUUGUGACUUUUAGCAUCUAAAUGUAGCUUUGGAAUCAUGUAGUAUGUACUCUCAUGUCUCUGAAAUUCAUCCAUGUUGUUGCAUAAUUCAGUAGUUCACUACUUUUUAAUUUCUGAUUAGUAUUUCAUUGUAUGGGUGUACUGUAAUUUGUUUAACCAUUCACCUGCUGUUUAAUCUUUUGAGCUGUAUGCAUUUGGCUAUUAUGAAUAAAGCUGCUUUGAACAUUCCUA
RNAcentral lists this long non-coding RNA (3525 nucleotides) under Homo sapiens (human). RNAcentral's name for it is "non-protein coding lnc-LYST-4:1". The record is from RNAcentral. Lineage: Eukaryota; Metazoa; Chordata; Mammalia; Primates; Hominidae.